UCCCUGGUAGUAUAUCGGCUAGUACACCCGCCUGUCAUACGACGGUUCGCGGGAGAGCGGGGUUCGACUCCCCGCCAAGGAG
Molecule: transfer RNA, 82 nt
Filed under: Dentipellis sp. KUC8613
Lineage: Eukaryota; Fungi; Basidiomycota; Agaricomycetes; Russulales; Hericiaceae
Description: tRNA-Asp
Rfam family: tRNA
About the family: Transfer RNA (tRNA) molecules are approximately 80 nucleotides in length.
Source: RNAcentral